AGAGUUUGAUCAUGGCUCAGAAUCAACGCUGGCGGGUGCCUAACACAUGCAAGUCGAGCGAGAAAAGGGGAGCAAUCUCCUGAGUACAGCGGCGCACGGGUGAGUAACACGUGGGUAAUCUGCCCUGGAGUGGGGAAUAACACCGGGAAACCGGUGCUAAUACCGCAUACGAUAAUGAGGUCUGCGGACUUUGUUAUGAAAGGAGCAAUUCGCUCUAGGAGGAGCCCGCGGCUGAUUAGCUAGUUGGUGAGGUAAUGGCUCACCAAGGCUACGAUCAGUAUCCGGUCUGAGAGGACGGUCGGACACACUGGAACUGAGACACGGUCCAGACUCCUACGGGAGGCAGCAGUGGGGAAUUUUUGGCAGUGGGGGCAACCCUGACCAAGCAACGCCGCGUGGGUGAUGAAGUAUUUCGGUAUGUAAAACCCUUUCGACGGGGAAGAAAACCGCAAGGUUUGACGGUACCCGUAGAAGAAGCCCCGGCUAACUCCGUGCCAGCAGCCGCGGUAAUACGGGGGGGGCAAGCGUUGUUCGGAAUUACUGGGCGUAAAGGGCGCGUAGGCGGUCCGCUAAGUUAGAUGUGAAAACUCUGGGCUUAACCCAGAGCCUGCAUCUAAUACUGACGGGCUAGAGUUCUGGAGGGGGUAGCGGAAUUCCUGGUGUAGCGGUGAAAUGCGUAGAUAUCAGGAGGAACACCGGUGGCGAAGGCGGCUACCUGGACAGAAACUGNNNCUGAGGCCGAAAGCUAGGGGAGCAAACAGGAUUAGAUACCCUAGUAGUCC
This 782-nucleotide ribosomal RNA is filed under the name uncultured bacterium. Its description in RNAcentral is "bacterial SSU rRNA". It matches the Rfam family "Bacterial small subunit ribosomal RNA", at positions 8 to 796 of the family's 1533-position model. The record is from RNAcentral.